Choloepus didactylus (southern two-toed sloth) is the source of this 1108-nucleotide non-coding RNA. The record is from the annotation of a RefSeq genome assembly. Lineage: Eukaryota; Metazoa; Chordata; Mammalia; Pilosa; Megalonychidae.
CUGCUUGGCUCCUGCUCACAGGCACCCUGAGCUGGUAAACCUCCCAGUCUUGCCUCGACACUGCAGUGGGUAUGAGGCUUCUCUGCUGGGUGACCCUCAGUCUCCUGGGGGCAGGCCACACAGGUGCUGGAGUCUCCCAGUCCCCCAGGCACAGGGUCACAGGGAGUGGACAGGCUGUGGAGCUCAGGAAUGAAGGAUCUAACUCCACUCUGAAGAUCCAGCCUGCAAAGCGGGAAGACUCGGCCGUGUAUCUCUGCGCCAGCAGCAAAAAAAGGGACAGGGAAUGGGACAAUCAGCCACUGCACUUUGGAGACGGGACUCGGCUCACUGUCCUAGACGACCUGAGAAAGGUGAAACCCCCCAAGGUCACCGUGUUUGAACCAUCAGAAGCAGAGAUUGCGCGGACCCAGAAGGCCACGCUUGUGUGCCUGGCCACAAACUUCUACCCUGACCACGUGGAGCUGAGCUGGUGGGUGAACGGAAAGGAGGUCCACAGUGGGUUCAGCACAGACCCACAACCCUACAAGGAGAAGCCUGACCGCAACGAUUCCAGUUACUGCCUGAGCAGCCGCCUGAGGGUCUCUGCCGCCUUCUGGCACAACCCCCGCAACCACUUCCGCUGCCAAGUGCAGUUCUAUGGGCUCGGGGUCGAAGAUGAGUGGGACGAGGAUUGGGCCAAACCCAUCACCCAGAACAUCAGUGCUGAGGCCUGGGGCAGAGCAAACUGUGGCUUCACCUCAGUGUCCUAUCAGCAAGGAGUCCUGUCUGCCACCAUCCUCUAUGAGAUCCUGCUGGGGAAGGCCACUGUGUAUGCCGUGCUGGUCAGCGCCCUCGUGCUGAUGGCCAGGAUCAAGAAAAAGGAUUCCUGAAGCCAGCUCUGAAGGUGGAGCCAGGAGUUUCCAGUCCUUUCAUCACUCCCACCAUGGCUUCUUUUUUUCCCCAUUCCCAGCCAGUGUUUCUAAACCAGCUGCUCUCAUUUCUCUACUCAUCCCAGGAUUUAACCCCUCUAUGCAUAUACACUCAUGGCUGGAAUUUCCCUAACCCACAAGGGACCUUAACAUGCCUGAAUCCUAAUUAGAUUAAACCAAUAAAAAUGACUUGAUUCUGA